Molecule: non-coding RNA, 76 nt
Organism: Podarcis lilfordi (Lilford's wall lizard)
Lineage: Eukaryota; Metazoa; Chordata; Lepidosauria; Squamata; Lacertidae
Source: the annotation of a GenBank genome assembly
GACUGCUCUUCAGUCGGUGGAGCCUGAGACUCUUCAUCUCAGGGCUGUGGGUUCGAGCCCCACACUGGGCAAAACA